This 497-nucleotide ribosomal RNA is filed under the name uncultured bacterium. Its description in RNAcentral is "partial 16S ribosomal RNA". It matches the Rfam family "Bacterial small subunit ribosomal RNA", at positions 28 to 507 of the family's 1533-position model. The record is from RNAcentral.
GAUGAACGCUGGCGGCGUGCCUAAUACAUGCAAGUCGAGCGAACAGAUGAGGAGCUUGCUCCUCUGACGUUAGCGGCGGACGGGUGAGUAACACGUGGAUAACCUACCUAUAAGACUGGGAUAACUUCGGGAAACCGGAGCUAAUACCGGAUAAUAUAUUGAACCGCAUGGUUCAAUAGUGAAAGACGGUUUUGCGGUCACUUAUAUAUGGAUCCGCGCCGCAUUAGCUAGUUGGUAAGGUACCGGCUUACCAAGGCAACGAUGCGUAGCCGACCUGAGAGGGUGAUCGGCCACACUGGAACUGAGACACGGUCCAGACUCCUACGGGAGGCAGCAGUAGGGAAUCUUCCGCAAUGGGCGAAAGCCUGACGGAGCAACGCCGCGUGAGUGAUGAAGGUCUUCGGAUCGUAAAACUCUGUUAUUAGGGAAGAACAAAUGUGUAAGUAACUAUGCACGUCUUGACGGUACCUAAUCAGAAAGCCACGGCUAACUACGUG